UAAUAAGGUCUGUGCAUUCUCUGUCCCAC
This 29-nucleotide non-coding RNA is filed under the name Bombyx mori (domestic silkworm). Lineage: Eukaryota; Metazoa; Arthropoda; Insecta; Lepidoptera; Bombycidae. The record is from RNAcentral.